CCGGUGCUAAUACCGAAUAGUUUUCGGCCCCUCCUGGGGCGGAACGGAAAGACGGCAUCUCGCUGUCACUGCAGGAUGGGCCCGCGGCGCAUUAGCUAGUUGGUGGGGUAACGGCCCACCAAGGCGACGAUGCGUAGCCGACCUGAGAGGGUGAUCGGCCACACUGGGACUGAGACACGGCCCAGACUCCUACGGGAGGCAGCAGUAGGGAAUCUUCCGCAAUGGACGAAAGUCUGACGGAGCAACGCCGCGUGAGUGACGAAGGUUUUCGGAUCGUAAAACUCUGUUGUUAGGGAAGAACAAGUGCCGUUCAAAUAGGGCGGCACCUUGACGGUACCUAACCAGAAAGCCACGGCUAA
This 359-nucleotide ribosomal RNA is filed under the name uncultured bacterium. Its description in RNAcentral is "bacterial SSU rRNA". It matches the Rfam family "Bacterial small subunit ribosomal RNA", at positions 157 to 500 of the family's 1533-position model. The record is from RNAcentral.